ACCCGCUGAACUUAAGCAUAUCAAUAAGCGGAGGAAAAGAAACUAACAAGGAUUCCCCUAGUAACUGCGAGUGAAGCGGGAAAAGCUCAAAUUUAAAAUCUGGCGGUCUCUGGCUGUCCAAGUUGUAAACUAGAGAAGUGUUAUCCGUGCUGGACCAUGUAAAAGUCUCCUGGAACGGAGCGUCAUAGAGGGUGAGAAUCCCGUCUUUGACAUGGACUACCAGUGCAUUGUGAUAUGCUCUCAAAGAGUCGAGUUGUUUGGGAAUGCAGCUCAAAAUGGGUGGUAAAUUCCAUCUAAAGCUAAAUAUUGGCGAGAGACCGAUAGCGAACAAGUACCGUGAGGGAAAGAUGAAAAGAACUUUGGAAAGAGAGUUAAACAGUACGUGAAAUUGUUGAAAGGGAAACGCUUGAAGUCAGUCACAUUGGCUGGAGAUCAACCUUGCUUUUGGAAGGUGUACUCUCUGGUUGAUGGGUCAGCAUCAAUUUUGACCAUUGGAAAAAGGUUAGGGGAAUGUGGCAUCCUUGGAUGUGUUAUAGCCCUUGAUUGUAUACAGUGGUUGGGAUUGAGGAACUCAGCACGCCGCAAGGCCGGGUUUUACCACGUUCGUGCUUAGGAUGCUGGCAUAAUGGCUUUAAUCGACCCGUCUUGAAACACGG
RNAcentral lists this ribosomal RNA (656 nucleotides) under uncultured fungus. Its description in RNAcentral is "eukaryotic LSU rRNA". It matches the Rfam family "Eukaryotic large subunit ribosomal RNA", at positions 23 to 664 of the family's 3401-position model. The record is from RNAcentral. Lineage: Eukaryota; Fungi.